AACUGAUUAAUGGUGCUUGCACCUGAUUGACGAUGGAUCACCAGUGAGUGGCGGACGGGUGAGUAACACGUAGGUAACCUGCCCCGGAGCGGGGGAUAACAUUUGGAAACAGAUGCUAAUACCGCAUAACAACAAAAGCCACAUGGCUUUGUUUGAAAGAUGGCUUCGGCUAUCACUCUGGGAUGGACCUGCGGUGCAUUAGCUAGUUGGUAAGGUAACGGCUUACCAAGGCGAUGAUGCAUAGCCGAGUUGAGAGACUGAUCGGCCACAAUGGAACUGAGACACGGUCCAUACUCCUACGGGAGGCAGCAGUAGGGAAUCUUCCGCAAUGGGCGCAAGCCUGACGGAGCAACGCCGCGUGAGUGAAGAAGGCCUUCGGGUCGUAAAGCUCUGUUGUCGGGGACGAAUGUAGUUACCAUCAACAACCGUAACUAAUGACGGUACCUGACGAGGAAGCCACGGCUAACUACGUG
RNAcentral lists this ribosomal RNA (473 nucleotides) under uncultured bacterium. RNAcentral describes it as "bacterial SSU rRNA". It matches the Rfam family "Bacterial small subunit ribosomal RNA", at positions 65 to 507 of the family's 1533-position model. The record is from RNAcentral.